AGUAGUGUGAGCUGUGUGCCCGUCUCCUCUGACUGUGUGACUUUGCAUAUGUGUGCUGCCUCUCUGCUCCAGCCGUUAAGAGCCCAGUGCUGCUCAGUGUCUGUGCGGGCCCUUCAGAGCCACUCCCACACCAACAACACAAUGAGCCUGAUGUCCCUGCAGCUGUUCCUGCUGGCCCUGGGGCUCCUGGUUGGGGGUUCUUCAGGAGAAAUCAGCCUGACUCAGACUCCUAAAGCUGCAGCUGUGGACAAAGGGGCCUCUGUUACUCUCAGGUGUCAGACUAGUACAGGUAUUUCUAAUGAUCUGCACUGGUAUCUUCAGAAAGGCACAGAACCUCCAAAGCUCCUCAUACGUUAUGCUUCAACUCUUCAUGAUGGAGUCUCCAGUCGUUUCAGUGGAAGUGGUCGUGGGACAGACUUCUCUCUGAGCAUCAGUGGAUUUGAGGCUGAAGAUGCAGGAGUUUAUUACUGUCAGCAGAGUUACAGCAGACCGUUCACACAGUGAAAAAGACUCGUAC
Molecule: non-coding RNA, 517 nt
Organism: Periophthalmus magnuspinnatus
Lineage: Eukaryota; Metazoa; Chordata; Actinopteri; Gobiiformes; Gobiidae
Source: the annotation of a RefSeq genome assembly